This 2988-nucleotide ribosomal RNA is filed under the name Salmonella enterica subsp. enterica. Its description in RNAcentral is "bacterial LSU rRNA". It matches the Rfam family "Bacterial large subunit ribosomal RNA". Lineage: Bacteria; Pseudomonadati; Pseudomonadota; Gammaproteobacteria; Enterobacterales; Enterobacteriaceae. The record is from RNAcentral.
UUAAGCGACUAAGCGUACACGGUGGAUGCCCUGGCAGUCAGAGGCGAUGAAGGGCGUGCUAAUCUGCGAUAAGCGCCGGUAAGGUGAUAUGAACCGUUAUAACCGGCGAUACCCGAAUGGGGAAACCCAGUGUGACUCGUCACACUAUCAUUAACUGAAUCCAUAGGUUAAUGAGGCGAACCGGGGGGAACUGAAACAUCUAAGUACCCCGAGGAAAAGAAAUCAACCGAGAUUCCCCCAGUAGCGGCGAGCGAACGGGGAGGAGCCCAGAGCCUGAAUCAGCAUGUGUGUUAGUGGAAGCGUCUGGAAAGGCGCGCGAUACAGGGUGACAGCCCCGUACACAAAAGCGCAUGUGCUGUGAGCUCGAUGAGUAGGGCGGGACACGUGGUAUCCUGUCUGAAUAUGGGGGGACCAUCCUCCAAGGCUAAAUACUCCUGACUGACCGAUAGUGAACCAGUACCGUGAGGGAAAGGCGAAAAGAACCCCGGCGAGGGGAGUGAAAAAGAACCUGAAACCGUGUACGUACAAGCAGUGGGAGCACAGGUUUACCUGUGUGACUGCGUACCUUUUGUAUAAUGGGUCAGCGACUUAUAUUCUGUAGCAAGGUUAACCGAAUAGGGGAGCCGCAGGGAAACCGAGUCUUAAUUGGGCGUUAAGUUGCAGGGUAUAGACCCGAAACCCGGUGAUCUAGCCAUGGGCAGGUUGAAGGUUGGGUAACACUAACUGGAGGACCGAACCGACUAAUGUUGAAAAAUUAGCGGAUGACCUGUGGCUGGGGGGUGAAAGGCCAAUCAAACCGGGAGAUAGCUGGUUCUCCCCCGAAAGCUAUUUAGGUAGCGCCUCGUGAACUCAUCUCCGGGGGUAGAGCACUGUUUCGGCUAGGGGGCCAUCCCGGCUUACCAACCCGAUGCAAACUGCGAAUACCGGAGAAUGUUAUCACGGGAGACACACGGCGGGUGCUAACGUCCGUCGUGAAGAGGGAAACAACCCAGACCGCCAGCUAAGGUCCCAAAGUCAUGGUUAAGUGGGAAACGAUGUGGGAAGGCCCAGACAGCCAGGAUGUUGGCUUAGAAGCAGCCAUCAUUUAAAGAAAGCGUAAUAGCUCACUGGUCGAGUCGGCCUGCGCGGAAGAUGUAACGGGGCUAAACCAUGCACCGAAGCUGCGGCAGCGAACGUAUCACUUAAAGCGAUUCAGCGGGUUACGAUUGACGGAGCGAAGCGACGUCAAAGCGUAUACAAAGUCGAGUCGGUUUAAGGAUACGUUCGUUGGGUAGGGGAGCGUUCUGUAAGCCUGUGAAGGUGUGUCGUGAGGCAUGCUGGAGGUAUCAGAAGUGCGAAUGCUGACAUAAGUAACGAUAAAGCGGGUGAAAAGCCCGCUCGCCGGAAGACCAAGGGUUCCUGUCCAACGUUAAUCGGGGCAGGGUGAGUCGACCCCUAAGGCGAGGCCGAAAGGCGUAGUCGAUGGGAAACGGGUUAAUAUUCCCGUACUUGGUGUUACUGCGAAGGGGGGACGGAGAAGGCUAUGUUGGCCGGGCGACGGUUGUCCCGGUUUAAGCGUGUAGGCUGGUUUUCCAGGCAAAUCCGGAAAAUCAAGGCUGAGGCGUGACGACGAGGCACUACGGUGCUGAAGCAACAAAUGCCCUGCUUCCAGGAAAAGCCUCUAAGCAUCAGGUAACAUCAAAUCGUACCCCAAACCGACACAGGUGGUCAGGUAGAGAAUACCAAGGCGCUUGAGAGAACUCGGGUGAAGGAACUAGGCAAAAUGGUGCCGUAACUUCGGGAGAAGGCACGCUGACACGUAGGUGAAGUGAUUUACUCACGGAGCUGAAGUCAGUCGAAGAUACCAGCUGGCUGCAACUGUUUAUUAAAAACACAGCACUGUGCAAACACGAAAGUGGACGUAUACGGUGUGACGCCUGCCCGGUGCCGGAAGGUUAAUUGAUGGGGUCAGCGCAAGCGAAGCUCCUGAUCGAAGCCCCGGUAAACGGCGGCCGUAACUAUAACGGUCCUAAGGUAGCGAAAUUCCUUGUCGGGUAAGUUCCGACCUGCACGAAUGGCGUAAUGAUGGCCAGGCUGUCUCCACCCGAGACUCAGUGAAAUUGAACUCGCUGUGAAGAUGCAGUGUACCCGCGGCAAGACGGAAAGACCCCGUGAACCUUUACUAUAGCUUGACACUGAACAUUGAGCCUUGAUGUGUAGGAUAGGUGGGAGGCUUUGAAGUGUGGACGCCAGUCUGCAUGGAGCCGACCUUGAAAUACCACCCUUUAAUGUUUGAUGUUCUAACGUGGACCCGUAAUCCGGGUUGCGGACAGUGUCUGGUGGGUAGUUUGACUGGGGCGGUCUCCUCCUAAAGAGUAACGGAGGAGCACGAAGGUUGGCUAAUCCUGGUCGGACAUCAGGAGGUUAGUGCAAUGGCAUAAGCCAGCUUGACUGCGAGCGUGACGGCGCGAGCAGGUGCGAAAGCAGGUCAUAGUGAUCCGGUGGUUCUGAAUGGAAGGGCCAUCGCUCAACGGAUAAAAGGUACUCCGGGGAUAACAGGCUGAUACCGCCCAAGAGUUCAUAUCGACGGCGGUGUUUGGCACCUCGAUGUCGGCUCAUCACAUCCUGGGGCUGAAGUAGGUCCCAAGGGUAUGGCUGUUCGCCAUUUAAAGUGGUACGCGAGCUGGGUUUAGAACGUCGUGAGACAGUUCGGUCCCUAUCUGCCGUGGGCGCUGGAGAACUGAGGGGGGCUGCUCCUAGUACGAGAGGACCGGAGUGGACGCAUCACUGGUGUUCGGGUUGUCAUGCCAAUGGCACUGCCCGGUAGCUAAAUGCGGAAGAGAUAAGUGCUGAAAGCAUCUAAGCACGAAACUUGCCCCGAGAUGAGUUCUCCCUGAGACUUAGAGUCUCCUGAAGGAACGUUGAAGACGACGACGUUGAUAGGCCGGGUGUGUAAGCGCAGCGAUGCGUUGAGCUAACCGGUACUAAUGAACCGUGAGGCUUAACCUU